GAUGAACGCUGGCGGCGUGCUUAACACAUGCAAGUCGAACGGGAAAUAUUUCAUUGAGACUUCGGUGGAUUUGAUUUAUUUCUAGUGGCGGACGGGUGAGUAACGCGUGGGUAACCUGCCUUAUACAGGGGGAUAACAGUCAGAAAUGGCUGCUAAUACCGCAUAAGCGCACAGAGCUGCAUGGCUCAGUGUGAAAAACUCCGGUGGUAUAAGAUGGACCCGCGUUGGAUUAGCUAGUUGGUGGGGUAACGGCCCACCAAGGCGACGAUCCAUAGCCGGCCUGGGAGGGUGAACGGCCACAUUGGGACUGAGACACGGCCCAGACUCCUACGGGAGGCAGCAGUGGGGAAUAUUGCACAAUGGGGGAAACCCUGAUGCAGCGACGCCGCGUGAAGGAAGAAGUAUCUCGGUAUGUAAACUUCUAUCAGCAGGGAAGAUAGUGACGGUACCUGACGAAGAAGCCCCGGCUAACUACGUG
Molecule: ribosomal RNA, 478 nt
Filed under: uncultured bacterium
Lineage: Bacteria
Description: partial 16S ribosomal RNA
Rfam family: Bacterial small subunit ribosomal RNA
Source: RNAcentral